GUCGAAAACUGCACAGUUAAGCCACAUGUUAACUUGUUUUUAACCAUUCCAUGUUGUUUGUAGGAAGGUUGCCUUGGCUGCCUCCUACGAUUACAUGAACAAUUUUCGGCGCGGAAUGCGUCAAGGAAAACGGACAUUAACGUAAGGCUAGCCCUCUUGCUGCUCUUUGGUUGUAUGGAGGGUGUUGCAUCGUUGAAAUAUUUGGUU
RNAcentral lists this unclassified non-coding RNA (207 nucleotides) under Limonium wrightii. RNAcentral describes it as "ITS1". The record is from RNAcentral. RNAcentral also lists the same sequence under 3 other names. Lineage: Eukaryota; Viridiplantae; Streptophyta; Magnoliopsida; Caryophyllales; Plumbaginaceae.